GUGUAGUUUCUCAAGUGCCGGAGGGUUGCAUUUGGGACAAAGGCUGAUGUAACCUGCUUGUACCUUGUCUUUGGAUGACACAAAUACCCGGAACCUCAUACUAUUCUCUUCCACAGGUCUUGCGGAGUAUCCUUCCCAAGUUGCGUGGAUGUGAAGGGACACGACAGUUCCCCUGAUGUACCAUGGGCGACCUACUUGUGAUGUGGACCUGAACCUCCGCCAUGUAGCAGACAACCCCCCUCAGAUCUUGCGGCGUAUCCUUCCCAAAUGGUGUGGAUGUGAAGAGACAUGACAGUUCCCCUGAUGUACCAAGGCAUGGGCGACCUACUUGUGAUGUGGACCAGAACCUCCGACAUUUAGCAGACAAACCCCCUCAGGUCUUGCGGAGUAUCCUUCCCAAGUUGCUUGAAUCAUCAUGGAUGAAAAGGGACACGACAGUUCUCCUGCUGUACCAUGGGCGACCUAACACAAUACCACUGCAUCUCAUAUAUUACAUUUUAUUUACUAAUAAUUUAAAGA
Molecule: long non-coding RNA, 519 nt
Organism: Pseudophryne corroboree (corroboree frog)
Lineage: Eukaryota; Metazoa; Chordata; Amphibia; Anura; Myobatrachidae
Exons: 3
Source: RefSeq, a predicted model, not a curated record